CAAGUUCUGUACGUCGAAGAUGUAGCCGAUCACGACGACCCCGAGUCAUGCGUCGUCAUCCGUGAGGGUGGGGGCGAAGCGUUGACAGGGGCACAUGUGGGCUGGGUAUUGAGCCGCGAAAUGUUGAACAACCGGGACGCCGACGCUGUGGAGAAGUGCGGAAGGCAACACGAGGCAGGGCGCCAUGGCGAGUCCUGCACCGGCCCGGCGUGGUCAGAGACCC
RNAcentral lists this non-coding RNA (223 nucleotides) under Magnetospirillum sp. LM-5. Lineage: Bacteria; Pseudomonadati; Pseudomonadota; Alphaproteobacteria; Rhodospirillales; Rhodospirillaceae. The record is from RNAcentral.